GACGAACGCUGGCGGCGUGCUUAACACAUGCAAGUCGUACGGAAAGGCCCUGCUUUUGUGGGGUGCUCGAGUGGCGAACGGGUGAGUAACACGUGAGUAACCUGCCCUUGACUUUGGGAUAACUUCAGGAAACUGGGGCUAAUACCGGAUAGGAGCUCCUGCUGCAUGGUGGGGGUUGGAAAGUUUCGGCGGUUGGGGAUGGACUCGCGGCUUAUCAGCUUGUUGGUGGGGUAGUGGCUUACCAAGGCUUUGACGGGUAGCCGGCCUGAGAGGGUGACCGGCCACAUUGGGACUGAGAUACGGCCCAGACUCCUACGGGAGGCAGCAGUGGGGAAUAUUGCACAAUGGGCGGAAGCCUGAUGCAGCAACGCCGCGUGCGGGAUGACGGCCUUCGGGUUGUAAACCGCUUUCGCCUGUGACGAAGCGUGAGUGACGGUAAUGGGUAAAGAAGCACCGGCUAACUACGUGCCAGCAGCCGCGGUGAUACGUAGGGUGCGAGCGUUGUCCGGAUUUAUUGGGCGUAAAGGGCUCGUAGGUGGUUGAUCGCGUCGGAAGUGUAAUCUUGGGGCUUAACCCUGAGCGUGCUUUCGAUACGGGUUGACUUGAGGAAGGUAGGGGAGAAUGGAAUUCCUGGUGGAGCGGUGGAAUGCGCAGAUAUCAGGAGGAACACCAGUGGCGAAGGCGGUUCUCUGGGCCUUUCCUGGCGCUGAGGAGCGAAAGCGUGGGGAGCGAACAGGCUUAGAUACCCUGGUAGUCCACGCUGUAAACGGUGGGUACUAGGUGUGGGGUCCAUUCCACGGGUUCCGUGCCGUAGCUAACGCUUUAAGUACCCCGCCUGGGGAGUACGGCCGCAAGGCUAAAACUCAAAGGAAUUGACGGGGCCCCGCACAAGCGGCGGAGCAUGCGGAUUAAUUCGAUGCAACGCGUAGAACCUUGCCUGGGUUUGACAUGGAUCGGGAGCGCUCAGAGAUGGGUGUGCCUCUUUUGGGGUCGGUUCACAGGUGGUGCAUGGCUGUCGUCAGCUCGUGUCGUGAGAUGUUGGGUUAAGUCCCGCAACGAGCGCAACCCUUGUUCACUGUUGCCAGCACGUUAUGGUGGGGACUCAGUGGAGACCGCCGGGGUCAACUCGGAGGAAGGUGGGGAUGACGUCAAGUCAUCACGCCCCUUAUGUCCAGGGCUUCACGCAUGCUACAAUGGCUGGUACAGAGAGUGGCGAGCCUGUGAGGGUGAGCGAAUCUCGGAAAGCCGGUCUCAGUUCGGAUUGGGGUCUGCAACUCGACCUCAUGAAGUCGGAGUCGCUAGUAAUCGCAGAUCAGCAACGCUGCGGUGAAUACGUUCCCGGG
RNAcentral lists this ribosomal RNA (1343 nucleotides) under uncultured bacterium. RNAcentral's name for it is "16S ribosomal RNA". It matches the Rfam family "Bacterial small subunit ribosomal RNA", at positions 28 to 1378 of the family's 1533-position model. The record is from RNAcentral.